CGGCGAAUAAAAGGUUUGUGGCCAAAACAAUCAACUGAUCAACUACUUGACGGGGCACAAAUCAGGUUAGGUGGCUAAUCAUUAAUGACCCAUUAAUACACUUAAUGACCAUAUCAAGGAUGAAUAUAUGGCAUUAAUGGAUGAUUGUCAAGUUAUAUUGCCUAAAAAUAUAUUGUAUUAAUGAAGAAUUAGUAUGGUUGGAUGAUCAUGAAGCUUAUAAAUACAAGAUUACUGCCCAAGUAAAGACAUCUUAUUCCCAAUUAAUAUCAAAAUACACUAAAGCAAUAUCGC
RNAcentral lists this long non-coding RNA (291 nucleotides) under Vigna radiata. RNAcentral's name for it is "long non-coding RNA (VRAD_LNC011051)". The record is from RNAcentral. Lineage: Eukaryota; Viridiplantae; Streptophyta; Magnoliopsida; Fabales; Fabaceae.